UCACAUAUUGCUAGCUCCUUAGGUGUAAUGUUGUUUAAAAUAUUUGUCCUGGAGCUCCUUUGCUCCUGUUCUUGGUGUAGAUAAACCAAAACUGCUCCUUUUAGGCCAUCCAAGAGUCUGGAACGACCAACAUUGUAAUUAGCAUAUGUGGACAGUUACGCUACAAUGCCCCCAAUUGUUUUCAAUGAUAACUCUUGCUCCAAAUUUUGCUUUCCGGGAGGUGGUUGAGGUAGAGAUUGUUGUGUUGUGGCAGUGCACGCUACGGUGUCAGGUUGCAUAGGGGCAUGCCCUUUCUCAGUAUUCAAAUAUCAUGUACUAAUUGUGUUUUCACUUUGUAUUGCUUACUCACAGAUGUCAUCGGAAGCGUCAUGGUUAUUUCUUAAGCUCACCAAAUAUUUCUCUUCAUAUUUUAACAUUUCACUUUCUGUCAAUAAGCAUUUAUCUCUAUGCUAACUUGGUGUAAAGUAGCCUUGAUGAUGUGUGGAGGCGGUCUGCUCAGUGACUGUUAGUAAGGUUGAUCAUCGGCAAGCGAAAGUGCUUUGUGGAUGCUUGCACGACCAAGCGGCUUGGGGGGAGGAGUGCGUGUUUUCGAGCCCUUCAAGCUCCCAGAGUGCAAACACCAUGAGAUAGGGAUGUGAAACUGAAGGAAAGAAGGCCCUGACCACUCUCAUCAUUUACUCAAGUAAUAACACCAUCGGCGACAGGAACGACAAGCUGACGCAAGUGAUCUUAGUGUCUCUUAUGAUGUCGUUUUAUGUCUUGGCCUCAAGUUCACAACCAGUUCUUUGUUUGGUGAGAUGUAUGUGUUCUUUCAUGGUUAUUCUCAUUAGGUGGCUGCACUUUGUUUUCUCAAUUUGUGUUCUGAAUUUGAGGUUGCAGAUGCGUGCCUUGAUUGUUUAUAUAAAUGUGUAAGUAGAAAAAUUUCAUGGGCAACAA
Molecule: long non-coding RNA, 936 nt
Organism: Triticum dicoccoides
Lineage: Eukaryota; Viridiplantae; Streptophyta; Magnoliopsida; Poales; Poaceae
Exons: 5
Source: RefSeq, a predicted model, not a curated record